UGACCCACCACAGAAGGUAAUAGUCCUGUAUGUUAAACGAGAAGACUGUAGAUAUGAUCCAGAGUACCACGGGACACGUGAAACCCUGUGGGAAGCAGGAGGGACCACCCUCCAAGGCUAAAUACUACCUAGUGACCGAUAGCGUAUAGUACCGUGAGGGAAAGGUGAAAAGAACCCCGGGAGGGGAGUGAAAUAGAACCUGAAACCCUGCACUUACAAGCUGUGGAAGCACAUUUCUUGUGUGACCGCGUACUUUUUGUAGAACGGGC
Molecule: ribosomal RNA, 269 nt
Filed under: Clostridioides difficile
Lineage: Bacteria; Bacillati; Bacillota; Clostridia; Peptostreptococcales; Peptostreptococcaceae
Description: partial 23S ribosomal RNA
Rfam family: Bacterial large subunit ribosomal RNA
Source: RNAcentral